RNAcentral lists this transfer RNA (73 nucleotides) under Gammaproteobacteria bacterium. RNAcentral's name for it is "tRNA-Ala". It matches the Rfam family "tRNA". Rfam says of the family: Transfer RNA (tRNA) molecules are approximately 80 nucleotides in length. Their secondary structure includes four short double-helical elements and three loops (D, anti-codon, and T loops). Further hydrogen bonds mediate the characteristic L-shaped molecular structure. tRNAs have two regions of fundamental functional importance: the anti-codon, which is responsible for specific mRNA codon recognition, and the 3' end, to which the tRNAs corresponding amino acid is attached (by aminoacyl-tRNA synthetases). tRNAs cope with the degeneracy of the genetic code in two manners: having more than one tRNA (with a specific anti-codon) for a particular amino acid; and 'wobble' base-pairing, i.e. permitting non-standard base-pairing at the 3rd anti-codon position. Lineage: Bacteria; Pseudomonadati; Pseudomonadota; Gammaproteobacteria. The record is from RNAcentral. RNAcentral also lists the same sequence under 2 other names.
GGGGAUAUAGCUCAGUUGGGAGAGCGCGUCAAUCGCACUGACGAGGUCAGGGGUUCGAGUCCCCUUAUCUCCA